RNAcentral lists this ribosomal RNA (467 nucleotides) under uncultured bacterium. Its description in RNAcentral is "partial 16S ribosomal RNA". It matches the Rfam family "Bacterial small subunit ribosomal RNA", at positions 28 to 507 of the family's 1533-position model. The record is from RNAcentral.
GAUGAACGCUGGCGGCGUGCUUAACACAUGCAAGUUGAACGAUGAUGCCCAGCUUGCUGGGUGGAUUAGUGGCGAACGGGUGAGUAACACGUGAGUAACCUGCCCUUGACUCUGGGAUAAGCCUGGGAAACUGGGUCUAAUACCGGAUACGACCAUCUGGCGCAUGUCAUGGUGGUGGAAAGCUUUUGUGGUUUUGGAUGGACUCGCGGCCUAUCAGCUUGUUGGUGGGGUAAUGGCCUACCAAGGCGACGACGGGUAGCCGGCCUGAGAGGGUGACCGGCCACACUGGGACUGAGACACGGCCCAGACUCCUACGGGAGGCAGCAGUGGGGAAUAUUGCACAAUGGGCGCAAGCCUGAUGCAGCGACGCCGCGUGAGGGAUGACGGCCUUCGGGUUGUAAACCUCUUUCAGUAGGGAAGAAGCGAAAGUGACGGUACCUGCAGAAGAAGCGCCGGCUAACUACGUG